GCAUAGUGCUUAUCGUCUUCUUCGUCAUCUCUUUGGUUCUUCUGGUGGUCGAGAUUUUCUACGUGCUUUGGCACCGGAGAAGAUUUUGGAGUGGGAGCGUCGCAGAUGGCGACGUGGAGUUCAGCGAUGAAUCAUUCUACCCGGCACCAUCAAAAGAGCUACUGUACUUCUUCUGCUGGAAGAACCAGACAUCUCGCAUCGAACUUGCUGGUGCAGAAACAACAGCAGCACCAGUAGCGACGGCUCCGCCACUCCCGCCGAUUAUGCUUGCUGAUGCCCAUGUGGAUGAGAUGCUGAAGCAGCAUGCACUAUACGGUCCAUCUAAGGUUUUGUUCACUAUAAAAGAAGAGGAAAAAGAGGAGAUGGAAACAGACUCGUCUUCUGCAGAGAACGGGGAGAGAAAAAGGAAAAAGAAGACGAAGAAGAAGUCGAGGAGCACCUCUUUGGAAGACGUUGCCGUUACUGCUGUGGUGAUUGACAUAGAUGAAUCGACGCCUUUUUCGACUCCGUGUGCUUCGCCUCCGUACUAUACUCCGUCACCGUCUCCUUCUCGUGACAGAAAUUAUCCACACUCAUCAGCUGAAAACAUAGUUCUGGAAGCCUAUAACGAUAUGCAAAUAGAACCGCAAGAAACAAAAGACGUUUCUGGUGAUAAAACGGUGUCGUUGGUUAGCAUAGAGUUCCCCUCUUCAUAGUGGAUCCAUUGUAAUCUCCCGGAAAAAAAAAAAAAGGGUUUCCCGGCUGUUAACGACCGGCCGGAGUAAUCAUCGUUCGGUUUUUGUCGCGUAUGUAUUUCAAGUUUUCAACAUAUUUCGUAGUUGGUUCUGAUGUUGCCACGUCAGUAAGAGUCAAGUAACUGGUGGUGUCAAGAAACGCGGCAAAAUCAGACGGUAGAGGGAUUCUGCGGGC
This 909-nucleotide unclassified non-coding RNA is filed under the name Hevea brasiliensis (rubber tree). Lineage: Eukaryota; Viridiplantae; Streptophyta; Magnoliopsida; Malpighiales; Euphorbiaceae. The record is from RNAcentral.